GCCCCCCAUGCCCUACCUUUGUCCCUAAAUCUUUCAUGUUCUCAUCAAGCAGGAGGGUGUUUGGUGUUUGGUUACUGUCUCCAUUGUAAGGGAGGAAAUUGCUUUUGCAACUGCGGUCCCAGAGGCUGUACUUUUCUUUUGCAAUUAAACCCUUAUCAGACCUCACGCUGCAGUGAUAACGUUGACUGAAUAGGUGUUUGCUGACAGACAUUGACCUGCAGCCUAAAUAAUGUAAGGAAAAUGCUUUUGAGUUUUUUGGCUUUUUUAAAGUCCUUGCCUAGUUCAUGGCUGAAGCCGUAUUUGCAGUAAAUAAAGUGAAAUUAUUUAGGACUGUAUUGGGUACUACUAGCAUCUGUGUCAAAGCCACUCUCUAGGCAUGAUGGGGUGACUUUGUUGUGGGAGCACGAUCUGACAGGGCUGAAUACCAUUUUUUCACCCCAGCACUUAUGGUGAAGAGCCAGAGCACCCUGCUUGCUCUGGCAGCGGGAGAGCUAUAAUCCUACUCAGUCUGAGGAAAUGGUCCAUCCACCUAAAGGGCAGUUUUGCAUUUCAGUGCUGUUGUGUUGAAAGCCGAAUUAAUAACAAGGUUUGGCCAAGCUCUGCAAAAGUUGAAACCUGGCUUCUGGCUCAGUUUCUGUCUGACAAAGAGCAAGAUUUUUAUGUUCCUUUCAGCAGCGUUGCUUCGCAUUGCAGCACGCAAGCUGUGGGUGGCUUCUCUUCAGAUUGAGAAUACCGGUGGGUCUCGUGAGUCAUGGUGGGAGGGUGACAUGGGGUUGGAUUUUAAAAGGUGAAGAGUCAACGUUUGUGAAGCUUCUACAGCCUAUGCAAUUAAUUUGUAACAACAGAGCUAGCAUAAAUCCUACCACUGCUGCGCACAGCAGCACCUGGUGAUGUGGCUGUACGGCUGGGAGAAGUGCCAGAAAAAUAGAGGAAAGAAAUGUCACUUGUAUCUUCGUGAAGGGGAAGAAGGUGUACUUAGGGAACUGCAGGCCUGUCAGCCUCACUAUGAUCCCUGGGAUGGUGAUGGAAAGCCUAAUUCUGGAAAACAUUUCUAAGCACAUGAAGGAGAAGAAAACCUCCAGGAGUAGUCAGCAUGGCAAGUCGCACCUGUCCGAACAGAUAAGCUUCUAUAAGGAAUUCACCAGCCUGAUGGAUGAAGGAGGAGCAGAGGACAUUGUCUUCCCAGUCUUCCUUAAGGCCUUUGACACCGAUCCCCAUAAGGUCCUAGGGCUGAGGAGUCAUGAUGGACAUCAAGAUGAACUUGAGGCAGCAAUGUGCUGUUGAUACUAAGAAGGCUCAUGGUAUUCUUGGCUGAAUUAAGAGCAUGGAUUGAAGUCAGGUACCCCUUCUCCCCCUUGAGAAAGGAGCCAACAGAAGAAUCAAGAGAAAUGAAAGAGUAAAAGAGGUGGCUGCAAGUGAUACAAUGAGUACCAUAGAGACGACUGCAAAGCUGCUUGGAGUCCUGCUCAACACUCUAUCAAAACCUGUGCAACUCUGUCCACUCUGGGGGAGCUUAGCAAAUGGAAAUGACCACGUGUUUUUAACCAAUAAUCUACAAUAAUCACCAAUAAUCUACACAAAUAAAACUAUUAUUAUUAUUAUUAUUAUUAUUAUUAUUAUUAUUAUUAUUACAAAAAGGGAAACAAGCAAGUGAAGAAGGGGGAAAAAUAAAAUGUAUAAAGCGAGCUUCCACUUAGAGGUUUCAACCUAUGGGUUACAACCUAUGGCUUAAAGAGUUUUUAAUGGGUUGUUUCUUUGUCCUCACAGAACUCAGCGUGUCUAGAAACACAUUUUUUUGCAGCAGGCUUUCUAUAACAUCAGCUUGUUCUCGUGUCUGUGGCUGGUUUAUUGCAGCAAUUAUAAUAAUUGAUCAACUUGUAAACCUGAUUAUAAAGUCUGCUCCCUCAUCUGUUUUCUUCCUUGACUGGCUCUUGCUUUGAAGGCGGCAAGGAUUUACAGUGGGGGCUGUCUGCAGCACCGAUCCCCUCCCUGGCCUUCCAUUAAUGUUGCCUGGUUCAGGAAGAACAGUGUAGCUCCCAGGGAGUGGCUGAGGAAGUCUGGUUACAGAGCCUCCAGCCAUUAACCC
This is a long non-coding RNA of Gallus gallus (chicken), 2086 nucleotides long. Lineage: Eukaryota; Metazoa; Chordata; Aves; Galliformes; Phasianidae. The record is from Ensembl.